GGGGAUGUUUUGGUUUUGACAGCAUCGAUGUCGGAUGGUAAGCACGCCGGGCGCUGUGGGCCUGCCCGUUAAUCACGACCUUCAAACAAUUAGUUGGCAACAACAAUUAUGCACUCGCUGCCUAAUUUGACCAAGUCAAUUAGCUUAAUCUGCGCCGCCUAGGCUGCGGCGCCGACGAGUAUCCCUCGGACUUUAGGCCGGUUCUGUUCCGAAUCAGGGGUAUCAUUCAAACCGGAUGCACAGGGGGACUCCUUUAAACCCUGCCAAGACACAAAGGAUAAGGGUCAGUUAGCCCGUCUUCCGGCAGGCUCUCCCCGACAACCAAAGGAAGAAUAAGCGUGUAGAAAGCCCUCUGGUGCGUUGUUUGGACGGCGGUUCGAGUCCGCCCAUCUCCAC
Molecule: transfer-messenger RNA, 396 nt
Filed under: bovine gut metagenome
Rfam family: transfer-messenger RNA
About the family: Bacterial tmRNA, also known as 10Sa RNA or SsrA, is named for its dual tRNA and mRNA-like properties. Its role is to liberate the mRNA from a stalled ribosome.
Source: RNAcentral